GAUGAACGCUGGCGGCGUGCCUAAUACAUGCAAGUCGAGCGAACAGACGAGGAGCUUGCUCCUCUGACGUUAGCGGCGGACGGGUGAGUAACACGUGGAUAACCUACCUAUAAGACUGGGAUAACUUCGGGAAACCGGAGCUAAUACCGGAUAAUAUAUUGAACCGCAUGGUUCAAUAGUGAAAGACGGUUUUGCUGUCACUUAUAGAUGGAUCCGCGCCGCAUUAGCUAGUUGGUAAGGUAACGGCUUACCAAGGCAACGAUGCGUAGCCGACCUGAGAGGGGGAUCGGCCACACUGGAACUGGGACACGGUCCAGACCCCUACGGGAGGCAGAAGUAGGGAAUCUUCCGAAAUGGGCGAAAGCCUGAGGGAGCAACGCCGGGGGAGUGAUGAAGGUCUUCGGAUCGUAAAACUCUGUUAUUAGGGAAAAAAAAAUGUGUAAGUAACUAUGCACGUUUUGACGGUACCUAAACAGAAAACCACGGCUAACUACGU
Molecule: ribosomal RNA, 496 nt
Filed under: uncultured bacterium
Lineage: Bacteria
Description: partial 16S ribosomal RNA
Rfam family: Bacterial small subunit ribosomal RNA
Source: RNAcentral